RNAcentral lists this ribosomal RNA (408 nucleotides) under gamma proteobacterium enrichment culture clone LiUU-15-346. Its description in RNAcentral is "bacterial SSU rRNA". It matches the Rfam family "Bacterial small subunit ribosomal RNA", at positions 509 to 916 of the family's 1533-position model. Lineage: Bacteria; Pseudomonadati; Pseudomonadota; Gammaproteobacteria. The record is from RNAcentral.
CAGCCGCCGCGGUAAUACAGAGGGUGCAAGCGUUAAUCGGAAUUACUGGGCGUAAAGCGCGCGUAGGUGGUUCGUUAAGUUGGAUGUGAAAUCCCCGGGCUCAACCUGGGAACUGCAUUCAAAACUGACGAGCUAGAGUAUGGUAGAGGGUGGUGGAAUUUCCUGUGUAGCGGUGAAAUGCGUAGAUAUAGGAAGGAACACCAGUGGCGAAGGCGACCACCUGGACUGAUACUGACACUGAGGUGCGAAAGCGUGGGGAGCAAGCAGGACUAGAUACCCUGGUAGUCCACGCCGUAAACGAUGUCAACUAGCCGUUGGGAGCCUUGAGCUCUUAGUGGCGCAGCUAACGCAUUAAGUUGACCGCCUGGGGAGUACGGCCGCAAGGUUAAAACUCAAAUGAAUUGACGG